Providencia rettgeri Dmel1 is the source of this 136-nucleotide non-coding RNA. Lineage: Bacteria; Pseudomonadati; Pseudomonadota; Gammaproteobacteria; Enterobacterales; Morganellaceae. The record is from Rfam.
GCAAAAAAAGAGGCCUGGUAGAUUCCGAUUACCGGGCCUUGGGAAAUGGCUCUGGCAGAGCCGUGCGCUAAAAUUGCCAUUGAGACGUUACAAAGUACACUCUAAUACUAGCUUUCAAUGCACGUUCUUACCAUAU